Molecule: unclassified non-coding RNA, 353 nt
Filed under: soil metagenome
Description: partial contains 5.8S ribosomal RNA, internal transcribed spacer 2, and large subunit ribosomal RNA
Rfam family: 5.8S ribosomal RNA (bases 1-120)
Source: RNAcentral
GAUGAAGAACGUAGUGAAAUGCGAUAACUAGUGUGAAUUACAGAAUUCCGUGAAUCAUCGAGUCUUUGAACGCACAUUGCGCCCCCUGGUAUUCCGGGGGGCAUGCCUGUCCGAGCGUCAUUGCUGCCCAUCAAGCACGGCUUGUGUGUUGGGUCGUCGUCCCCCCCUCCGGGGGGGGACGGGCCCUAAAGGCAGCGGCGGCACCGCGUCCGAUCCUCGAGCGUAUGGGGCUUUGUCACCCGCUCUGUAGGCCCGGCCGGCGCUUGCCGAACGCAAAACAACCAUUCUUUCCAGGUUGACCUCGGAUCAGGUAGGGAUACCCGCUGAACUUAAGCAUAUCAAUAAGCGGAGGA